RNAcentral lists this long non-coding RNA (3312 nucleotides) under Mytilus galloprovincialis (Mediterranean mussel). Lineage: Eukaryota; Metazoa; Mollusca; Bivalvia; Mytilida; Mytilidae. The record is from RNAcentral.
CAUCUGCACUGCACAUAUUUAAAGACACGAAAGUUUAAAUUAUUAUGCAUAGUACUUUUUAGAAUAGAGAAAGAAACCAUAAGGAUGUUUCAAAAAGUGCUACUAUUGUGUAUCGUCCUAACUUGGAUAACACAUAAUGUCCACGGUUGUUCGUGUUUUGGUUUACAGCAUCCGCAAUCACAAUUCUGUUCAGCUGACUACGGUAAGUUUUAGAACUACUUUGUGAUGAAAGACGUUCAUCCACGAAAAUUGGUACUCACGAAAAUAAAUGAUUCAGAAAUAACGUUUAUUAAACCAAUAUAUUGUGUUAUUCUAUAUAUGAUAUGAGGAUCAUAUUAAGUAAACGUUUACAAUCUCAUUCGAUAUUACCCAAUAAAAGUUUCGGCAUAUUAACUUGAGACUAUCAAACAUAAGUCUCUAACUACGCUGUACUUCCAAUAGAACACAGAUGUGUCGAUUUUAGAUAUAUGUAAUGAUAAUUGACAGACUCGUAAAUUUUUAACAUUUCACUUGUUAUGAAUUCAACUCCCAGGGAUCAACAGAGUUAUUGUCUUGCCUUAUGUCACUUUUCUAUGAUUAAGUAAGCAUGGUAAGCGACGAUCAUUUAAUAUUCGGGGAGGGUUUUACCAGAUUGAUAAUUAACUUUCAUCUGUUGCUAAGACUUCCAAUUUGAUUUUAACUUUCUACAAAUUUUCUUCCUGUUUGUUUGAAUGCAUAAUUUGAUCAUUUUUCCUAUUUGCUAUGCUGGUUAUUAAAUUUCAUUGUAAACCAGGUCAAGUGGGCCAUUUUCAUAUUUCUCCUAGAAAAUCUAACUGUCGUUCCCUUAUAUUUCACGUACUGUCGUAAUAAAAUUGUUUGGUAUACAAUAUUGCAUAUUUUUCAGUAUUUCACGGCAGAGUAACAAAGGAAACAUUUAUACCAGGCCCACCAGAUGAUAUUGGAAACAAUUUUGCGGUCUGGAAAUAUACAUUUCGCAUUGUUUUCAAAAUGAAGGUACGAGUCAGUAGUUAAAUUAAUAAUGGAAAAAAUGUAAUUGCAUUUUCAGUGUAUGGAUUUGGGAUAAUGCUAUAAAUGUAACGACGCAUAUAGUUUAAAUAUUAUAACAUACAUUAUUGGAACCACUUCUCGCAUAUAUUUUAAAGAAAUUGUAUUCUGAACAACUUGAUAGAUAUGCAGUAGUAAACAAAAUGAUUUAGUAUAUUAUUAGUUACGUAGUGUGUUAUUAUAUACGGUAUAUAUAGGGUCAGUAAAUUCCAUGUUUGGUAAACGCAAAGCUCGAAUCCCAAUCUGGAAUUUACUGACCCAAUAUAUAUAAAGAUUCUACCAUUGCAUCGAGUGUGAUACGAUAUUUAUUUUAUUAUAUUUUAACAAAUUUCAUUUGUUUAGGGAUAAUCACGUGUUAAACUAUAUUUUCGAAGGUAGAGAGAAAACUGCGGAUAGCAAAAAGCAUAUUACACAGAGCAUAUUGCACGGUUAUUUUUAGAAUAUCUAACAACCGAUUUACUUUGUGACGUCAUGUAAUGAAUUUCAGGAAAUCGUUAAACGUUUUUAAGCAAAUGAUAUCUGUGAUCGAUUAUUAGACGAAAAAAAUCUUCAAAUACAUAAGAUUACAAACAAACAAAAAAAUUGAAUUUAAUAACAACUAAUAUGUUGUAAUUGUCAAGGAGACAAUAUGAUAUCUAUAAAAUUCAAACAUAAUCAAAUGACGAUUUUGAUACAAAUAUGCAUAAUGGUCUGAAAUUGAUAAUAUAAAAAAUAUAACAUUUGUCCUCAGACAAUAUACUUCUUUCAUGUCAAUAUAUCCUUGUAUCGACCUUAUAUAAAGGCCAUAUUUGUAUAAUAUUGAAUUUGAAUAUAAUAAUAUGUAAUAUACAAAUCAGGAUAAAUUCGUUACACAGUGUUCAAUUGUCCUAAUACGUAAUUUAUCGGGUCAAUUAAAUUCAUAUCGAUAUGCAUUUUAUUGACCCGAUAAAUUCUCGUAUUAGGACAACUGCACACUGUGUAACUAAUAUAGCAUACUGACUACCUUAAGAUCUGGUAUUUAGACUAUUGGCUUAUCAAAGUUAUCAAGCCGUAAAUACCUUUAGUAUUAACAACCUACUUGCAUUGGUCUAUACAAAAAACAAAUACCAACAAUAACAAGUUCUUAACUCUAAACGUGUUUAAAAAAGAUAGUUCAAUCCUUCAUCAUAAUUUUCGUUUUCUGUUGAAACUUUUUAGAUUAUUCCUGCACACUGUAUUGUUUGCCUGUAACACCACUACUUACCGUUUAUUGAAAUAAGCCAUGGCAUAUUAACCUAUUAUGAAACCCUACUAAUCUUAUAUGAAAUAUACGUGGUCCUACGCGAAUACUUUUAACCAAUCAUGUUCAUAGAAAAGUAAUGGUAAUGUCAUUAUUUCAUUUAUAUUUCAAGGGUGUGCAUAUUUUUCUCAAAAAUAUGAUUUCAGUCAGUCAAAUUUUCGUUUAAACCGAGAUAUAAACUUGAAGGAAAUGGUCAAAUGUAUUAAAAUUAUCCAUUUUAACGAAUUCGGUUACUGAAUUUCAUUUUAAUUCAAUAAUCGAGUUAGCUGUAUUUUCAUUUUUCAUACAUAUUGAAUGUUAAACUUUACAUUGUUUUUAUCAUAGUUUCUGAUUCACUGUUUUAUAAAGAUAAAAGAGUAUACCGAUGUUCAAGAGUCAUAAUUCGUUUAGGCAAAAUUAAAUCCGAGUAACAAACUAAUAACAAGAGAAACACAUUGACUGUAGGAGGAAAUCAACGAAACAACCGAAACACUGAACUACAACAGAAGCAACAGCCAAUAUAGAAGCGGCAUGUAGAUAACAGCUGCAAUAACCCUAAAUUUGGUUCAGGAUGUACGAAGACAACAUUGUGGUUUGAAAAUGGCGAUAUGACUAGCCAAACCCCGCUUAUAUUUCAAUGUUAAUACUGCUACAGUAGCAUUACUUCUGGACAGGAGUACAGUACAAACAAACUUAAACACACUCAGCACAAUUAUAAAUAAUAAUAAAGUUCUUUAUUAAAAAAUGUAAACCUCAGAAUAGCAAAGAGCACCCUCAUGAAUCUACGACAGAACACAUGGACAACACAAACGACAUAUUAACUGUGCGUCACAUAAAUUGAUUUGCAACAUGGAACAUAUUGUUAUCGAUGCAAAUUAUUUUCAUUGAUUACAAAUGCUUCUAUAAUGCUAUACAUAUAUAACACAGGGAGUGACAGAAGGUGUUGGUCAAGAAAUAGUUGUAGAGACUGCAGGAAAUAGUGGGCUCUGUGGAGUACGUUUUACGGUCGGAGAGUCAUAUAUUCUGAUGGG